GGGGCACCCCUGGCAACAGGGUCCAAUCUGGUGGAGUAGUAUGCUAUUGUUUUUUGUUUACUACCAUGGUCCUGUGUAAGGACAGAUGUCGCAUAACCCGAUUGUUCUGUACAGAACAGUAUAAAAGGCUUUCUGUAAUCUGGAAGACCCAGUGCCGGAGCUGAGAUGACAGGCAACUUUUGGGUGUAAAAAGCAUUUUACACAAUAAGAUAUACUGCAAUAAGAUUAC
This is a non-coding RNA of Pelobates cultripes (western spadefoot toad), 229 nucleotides long. The record is from the annotation of a GenBank genome assembly. NCBI's taxonomy places the organism in Eukaryota, Metazoa, Chordata, Amphibia, Anura, Pelobatidae.